UACGUAGGGGGCUAGCGUUAUCCGGAAUUACUGGGCGUAAAGGGUGCGUAGGUGGUUUCUUAAGUCAGAGGUGAAAGGCUACGGCUCAACCGUAGUAAGCCUUUGAAACUGGGGAACUUGAGUGCAGGAGAGGGGAGUGGAAUUCCUAGUGUAGCGGUGAAAUGCGUAGAUAUUAGGAGGAACACCAGUUGCGAAGGCGGCUCUCUGGACUGUAACUGACACUGAGGCACGAAAGCGUGGGGAGCAAACAGG
Molecule: ribosomal RNA, 252 nt
Filed under: uncultured bacterium
Lineage: Bacteria
Description: partial 16S ribosomal RNA
Rfam family: Bacterial small subunit ribosomal RNA
Source: RNAcentral